Molecule: long non-coding RNA, 837 nt
Organism: Drosophila miranda
Lineage: Eukaryota; Metazoa; Arthropoda; Insecta; Diptera; Drosophilidae
Exons: 3
Source: RefSeq, a predicted model, not a curated record
GAUUAUGUGUAGUACACAACUCGAUGCGGCGACUGCUCCGUGCUACGUGCCGCGAACUUGUCAAACAAGCCCUGUGCAAACACUCAGAGAGGGAGAGAGUGGCAGACGUUCUCUAGAGAGAGAGUGCAGACGAACGGAUGAUUGCACUGAUGAUUGUCAAUUAUACGAGUACUCUAGGGCGUACAACAACUCUAAAUAUAUGUACGAUUAUAGCUCAUAUACGGGAGAAUUCGGAUAAUAGGGAGAGGAAAAAUAUAGAAUACUUUCUAGGCAAUUGGAAGGACAGGAAGUGGUUGAAGAUAGAGAAUACUUUCGAUGUAUCCAAUAUACAUCUAUCGUAAACCUUUCUCCUGUUUUAACUCCCUCACAUCUCUAAAUCUCUCAAUGGCUCCUUCAAGAGGCAACAAAUAUGUCUGCAAAACCUUUACGAUAUGGCACCUAAUUAGGCAGAAGAACGCCACAGAAAUUUACGCUCCGCCAGAGGAUGGUCCGACCCAGAACUUUGGGACGCCGGCGGCUGCGUGGAUGGAUGGGAUGGAUGGGAUGGGCGAUCUACUCGUGUACGGGGCAUGCAUCAGCGCUGUGCAAACAUGGAUUCGUUCCCAUUGAGGUGCCGAUAACCCGCUCCGAGUUAUUGGUUGGGGCAUACAUCAAAUCAUAAAGCAAAUGGUGCCGACAACUAACUGGCCAGAGUGCCGAAAUGGCCAAAUAACCCGAAGGCAACAACCAACCGACAGCCAUGACAUUUACAUUCACAUUCACCCCAAAACAAGAAAGAAAGAAAGAAAGACACAAAAUAAAGAAGAAAAGAAAAUCAACGACCAAACAACCGGCGAC